GCCGAAGUGGUGAAACUGGUAUACACGAAGGACUUAAAAUCCUUUGGAGUUAACCCUCCGUGCGGGUUCGAGUCCCGCCUUCGGCAUCA
RNAcentral lists this transfer RNA (89 nucleotides) under Candidatus Buchananbacteria bacterium RBG_13_36_9. RNAcentral describes it as "tRNA-Leu". It matches the Rfam family "tRNA". Rfam says of the family: Transfer RNA (tRNA) molecules are approximately 80 nucleotides in length. Lineage: Bacteria; Candidatus Buchananiibacteriota. The record is from RNAcentral.